UGGGGAAUCUUGCGCAAUGCGCGAAAGCGUGACGCAGCAACGCCGCGUGGGGGAAGAAGGCCUUCGGGUUGUAAACCCCUUUCAGGAGGGACGAAGCCCGGGCGGUUAAUAGCCGACCCGGGUGACGGUACCUCCAGAAGAAGCCCCGGCUAACUACGUGCCAGCAGCCGCGGUAAUACGUAGGGGGCAAGCGUUGUCCGGAAUCAUUGGGCGUAAAGCGCGUGUAGGCGGUCCGGUAAGUCGGCUCUGAAAGUCAGAGGCUCAACCUCUGAAGGCGGGUCGAUACUGCCGGACUAGAGUCCGGAAGAGGCGAGUGGAAUUCCCGGUGUAGCGGUGAAAUGCGCAGAUAUCGGGAGGAACACCAAUGGCGAAGGCAGCUCGCUGGGACGGUACUGACGCUGAGACGCGAAAGCGUGGGGAGCAAACAG
RNAcentral lists this ribosomal RNA (428 nucleotides) under uncultured bacterium. Its description in RNAcentral is "bacterial SSU rRNA". It matches the Rfam family "Bacterial small subunit ribosomal RNA", at positions 355 to 775 of the family's 1533-position model. The record is from RNAcentral.